This 467-nucleotide ribosomal RNA is filed under the name uncultured bacterium. Its description in RNAcentral is "partial 16S ribosomal RNA". It matches the Rfam family "Bacterial small subunit ribosomal RNA", at positions 28 to 507 of the family's 1533-position model. The record is from RNAcentral.
GACGAACGCUGGCGGCGUGCUUAACACAUGCAAUUCGAACGGAAGGGCCUUCUUUUGUUGGGUGCUUGAGUUGCGAACCGGUGAGUAACCCGUUAGUAACCUUCCCUUGACUUUGGGAUUACUUUAGGAAACUUGGGCCAAUUCCGGAUAGGAGCUCCCGCUGCAUUGUGGGGGUUGGAAAGUUUCGGCGGUUGGGGAUGGACUCGCGGCUUAUCAGCUUGUUGGUGGGGUAGUGGCUUACCAAGGCUUUGACGGGUAGCCGGCCUGAGGGGGUGACCGGCCACAUUGGGACUGAGAUACGGCCCAGACUCCUACGGGAGGCAGCAGUGGGGAAUAUUGCACAAUGGGCGGAAGCCUGAUGCAGCAACGCCGCGUGCGGGAUGACGGCCUUCGGGUUGUAAACCGCUUUCGCCUGUGACGAAGCGUGAGUGACGGUAAUGGGUAAAGAAGCACCGGCUAACUACGUG